This is a non-coding RNA of Dallia pectoralis (Alaska blackfish), 74 nucleotides long. The record is from the annotation of a GenBank genome assembly. NCBI's taxonomy places the organism in Eukaryota, Metazoa, Chordata, Actinopteri, Esociformes, Umbridae.
GGAGUUGGUAUCUCAAUGGUAGAGAGCCUGCUUUGUAUGUAUGAUGUCCUGGGUUCAAUUCCCCAGCUUCUCCC